RNAcentral lists this ribosomal RNA (465 nucleotides) under uncultured Klebsiella sp. RNAcentral's name for it is "bacterial SSU rRNA". It matches the Rfam family "Bacterial small subunit ribosomal RNA", at positions 338 to 795 of the family's 1533-position model. The record is from RNAcentral. Lineage: Bacteria; Pseudomonadati; Pseudomonadota; Gammaproteobacteria; Enterobacterales; Enterobacteriaceae.
CCUACGGGAGGCAGCAGUGGGGAAUAUUGCACAAUGGGCGCAAGCCUGAUGCAGCCAUGCCGCGUGUGUGAAGAAGGCCUUCGGGUUGUAAAGCACUUUCAGCGGGGAGGAAGGCGUUAAGGUUAAUAACCUCGUCGAUUGACGUUACCCGCCGAAGAAGCACCGGCUAACUCCGUGCCAGCAGCCGCGGUAAUACGGAGGGUGCAAGCGUUAAUCGGAAUUACUGGGCGUAAAGCGCACGCAGGCGGUCUGUCAAGUCGGAUGUGAAAGCCCCGGGCUCAACCUGGGAACUGCAUUCGAAACUGGCAGGCUAGAGUCUUGUAGAGGGGAGUAGAAUUCCAGGUGUAGCGGUGAAAUGCGUAGAGAUCUGGAGGAAUACCGGUGGCGAAGGCGGCCCCCUGGACAAAGACUGACGCUCAGGUGCGAAAGCGUGGGGAGCAAACAGGAGUAGAUACCCUGGUAGUC